CCUACGGGAGGCUGCAGUGGGGAAUAUUGGACAAUGGGCGAAAGCCUGAUCCAGCAUGCCGCGUGUGUGAAGAAGGCCUUCGGGUUGUAAAGCACUUUCAGUGGGGAAGAAAGCCUUGGGGCUAAUACCCUCGAGGAAGGACAUCACCCACAGAAGAAGCACCGGCUAACUCCGUGCCAGCAGCCGCGGUAAUACGGAGGGUUCGAGCGUUAAUCGGAAUUACUGGGCGUAAAGCGCGCGUAGGCGGUCUGAUAAGCCGGUUGUGAAAGCCCCGGGCUCAACCUGGGAACGGCAUCCGGAACUGUCAGGCUAGAGUGCAGGAGAGGAAGGUAGAAUUCCCGGUGUAGCGGUGAAAUGCGUAGAGAUCGGGAGGAAUACCAGUGGCGAAGGCGGCCUUCUGGACUGACACUGACGCUGAGGUGCGAAAGCGUGGGUAGCAAACAGGAUUAGAUACCCGUGUAGUC
This 464-nucleotide ribosomal RNA is filed under the name Vreelandella stevensii. RNAcentral's name for it is "partial 16S ribosomal RNA". It matches the Rfam family "Bacterial small subunit ribosomal RNA", at positions 338 to 795 of the family's 1533-position model. Lineage: Bacteria; Pseudomonadati; Pseudomonadota; Gammaproteobacteria; Oceanospirillales; Halomonadaceae. The record is from RNAcentral.